GCGCUCGUAGCUCAGGGGAUAGAGCACCAGUUUCCGGUACUGGGUGUCGGGGGUUCGAAUCCUCUGGGCGCACCA
RNAcentral lists this transfer RNA (75 nucleotides) under bacterium. RNAcentral's name for it is "tRNA-Arg". It matches the Rfam family "tRNA". Rfam says of the family: Transfer RNA (tRNA) molecules are approximately 80 nucleotides in length. The record is from RNAcentral.